GGAACAAAUACAAUCACACCGCCUCAUGUGGCCCACGGGCCGCAGUUUGAGGACCUCUGCUCUAAAGAGUCAUUCAACAUCCUGAUCUGGCCCGAGGCCUUCUCCUAGUCCUUCCAUGCAGCUCUCCUGUGCCUGCCGCAGCUGGGGACACCCAGCUGGCCCUGGUCGCACGCCUGUUCCACCUGACUGGAAUAUGCUUCUCCUCCCUCCUUGCCUGUGGAAACUCAGGUCUCCUUUAAGGCCUGAAACUAAAGUCACUCCUUCCAUGAAGCCUCCUUCUAAAAAUGUCUUUCCCUCCUGUCUUGUUGCUUCCAGAGAACUUUGAAGACGCACAUGGGGUUUCUAGGACGCUGUGUUAAAUGACAGUCACGAGUGCGUAUGUCUCUCAUCCCACCAGGCAGUACGCGCUGUGUGCUCUCUUUGUGUUUAACCUUGAAUCCCACAGAACCCACCCUGCUAAGUGUCCUGGUUCUCAAGUCGGCAUGGGGGCUGGCCAGGCCAGGUGUGCUGCCUGAGCCACAGGGACGGGCGAGAAGACUUUCUGACAAGUGAAAAUAAUUUGUGUAGUAAAACUGAAUAUAGCCAACAAGUGGCAUUUUCCUAGCCAAUAAAGUAUGCUUAUUAGCUGGUAGGCACUGGGAUUAUCAGUGGAAAUGAAUCCUCAGAGUAUAUAAAGUCAGUGACCAGACAUUUCUGACCCCUGAUUGACUGAUUUAUGUUCUGGUUCUUCUUCCUUCCUAAGUUUUGCUUGUUUGGCAUCUUAAGAGACAUUUUCCUUUCUGCGACGCCUCAUUAACUCCUAUUUCUUGAGCUUCCCUAAUCCAGUACAGUAGAUGCUACGGGAACCUUACAUGAACAAGAACUCUCCUGCUUCCAAGACAGUAAACACUGAAUAUUAACUCCUGGCAUUUAAAGGCAAAAACAUAAACUGAAAUUCUACUAUCUACCUGGUGCUUUGGAGAUAUGAUUCCACCCUCACCAUAGCUCUGCAAGGCGCUUCCUAGGGCCUCCUAAGCUGCUGCCUAAUUUUCCACAUUGCCCGCCAACAGACCCGGCUCCAGCCACAUUGACACACUUACAACUCCCAGAGGCACCUUCUCUGGCCUGUGCACAAGCCACCACCUCUGCCUGGUGAAAGGCACACACGUCAAAAUCCAUGAGUACUCCUGCAGGGUCACUUUCUCUGUGGAGUCUUUUAUCACCUACCAUCCCUGAAGGAUUAGACACGCCACUGUCAGGUUCUGGGAGCUUCUACUAUAGCCAGCAUACUGUCCUCUGCUGCCAUCGAAUGAUUUUGUUAUGACUGUUAUAAAUGUCCCCAAGCCUAAGUCAUCACGCACACCAGUUUCUUCCCCUGGAUCGUCUGUGCUUUUGGACACACCAUCUCAUCUGGGCUUCAUGGUAGCCAGGCGAGUCAGUGGCGCAGACAUUAUAGUUCUUAUUUUCAGCUGAGCCACGUGAAGAGAAGGAGGCGAAAUGGAUGAUCAAAGUCGCACAACUACUCAGAGGUAGAGCCGGGAUCAGAACUGAGAUCCAGUUUUGGCUCUCAGUCCAGGGGCUCCUAGUGCUGAACUGCCACAGUAGAUGUGGCACCAUGGGUCACUGUCCACCCAGAGGACUCCCCAGCUGCCUUAAAGGGUGAUCUUAUAUGAACGAGGUAUUACAGACAUUAGGAGAUCAUAGAUGAGCAGUGCCUUGUGCUUCUGUUCUGGCUUUGUGCCCUACCUUGCCUGGAUGAGACUGAGCCAAGGCACUGUCUCUGAGCCUGUUUUCUCAUCUGCAAAAGAGGAUCAACUUUUCAAGUCAUGCCCAUUUUUCAGGGUUGUGAGAUCAAAUGAGGCAACGAACAUGAAGGUUCUUUGACACAACCAUAGAACAUCAUUCAAUGAUAAGUAGAUACCCUGUUCUGUAGCAUGGUUUGGCUUCUCUGAGUAAGUACUGAUGAGCACAGACAGUGGGUACUUCCCUGUCUAUUGUUUUAGGUCCUCUGUUGCCUUGUCCUUGAGGCUCUUGCUGGGCUCCAGCUCUGGGCUUUCUGCGCUUCCCCUGCAGAAGCAGCACCGAGGUCCUGCCCUGUACCACAGCUACCCUGGUGGGAGUUUGCAUUUCUGCUUCUCAGGAAGGGCUUGACGCAGGAAAGCAAUGGAGGAGAGGCAAGUUCUGCUCUCACCUCUUUCCCUGUGGUGCGUUUUUGUCUUACCCCCUUUCCUAGACAUUUAUCCAAUUCUAACUUCUUGGUUAAAGGCUCCUCAUUGAAUACUGCAUUUACGUUUCUAUAUAAUGUUUCCUUCAAGGAAAAUAACGCAAACCCCAUUGCACAAAGCCUGAGAGAGUUGCACAGCUCAACAAGGACAGCGAUGGAUCGGACCGUUUAUGACGUGGAGGCCAAACUACUGCCAACCUCUGGUGGUAUGGAACCCAGGCAGAACUCCAGCACACGCAAGGGUUUGGGGUGAUCUGUCCCACCCUAGGGUGAUCACAUGGAUGAUAUCUCAUGCCUACAAUACCUGCUCUGAAGAAGAAAUUUCAUCGUCCUGUUACGUUUGAAAUCUAAUCAUCUACAGUUUAGAUACAAAGUAUUGGGGGAAAAAUUCUUUUCACAAAGUUUGGUUUACAAAACCUUAAAAUACUCUUAAAGUAUUUUAAGUCAGCAGUGUCUUGGAAAAUCAUGAUGGACAUCUAGUUGAAGACUCGCCUUAAGAAAGAUCUGAAUAUCAUAAAAUAGACAUUUAACGUGAACAUGACUGAACUUACAAUUCAAUCUGUCUUUGAUUCCUGAGCGGGUAAUUUAGGAUCUUAUAGAACUUCGGGGUCACCAUUAGAAACAUCAGCUGUCUUAGUACUGGUA
Long non-coding RNA from Nycticebus coucang (slow loris), 2848 nucleotides. RefSeq lists it as uncharacterized. The record is from RefSeq and is a predicted model, not a curated record. Lineage: Eukaryota; Metazoa; Chordata; Mammalia; Primates; Lorisidae. The transcript is spliced from 3 exons.